AUUGAACGCUGGCGGCAGGCCUAACACAUGCAAGUCGAGCGGAUGAAGGGAGCUUGCUCCUGGAUUCGGCGGCGGACGGGUGAGUAAUGCCUAGGAAUCUGCCUGGUAGUGGGGGAUAACGUCCGGAAACGGGCGCUAAUACCGCAUACGUCCUGAGGGAGAAAGUGGGGGAUCUUCGGACCUCACGCUAUCAGAUGAGCCUAGGUCGGAUUAGCUAGUUGGUGGGGUAAAGGCCUACCAAGGCGACGAUCCGUAACUGGUCUGAGAGGAUGAUCAGUCACACUGGAACUGAGACACGGUCCCGACUCCUACGGGAGGCAGCAGUGGGGAAUAUUGGACAAUGGGCGAAAGCCUGAUCCAGCCAUGCCGCGUGUGUGAAGAAGGUCUUCGGAUUGUAAAGCACUUUAAGUUGGGAGGAAGGGCAGUAAGUUAAUACCUUGCUGUUUUGACGUUACCAACAGAAUAAGCACCGGCUAACUUCGUG
This 484-nucleotide ribosomal RNA is filed under the name uncultured bacterium. RNAcentral's name for it is "partial 16S ribosomal RNA". It matches the Rfam family "Bacterial small subunit ribosomal RNA", at positions 30 to 507 of the family's 1533-position model. The record is from RNAcentral.